GUUUGAUCCUGGCUCAGAACGAACGCUGGCGGCAGGCUUAACACAUGCAAGUCGAGCGAGACCUUCGGGUCUAGCGGCGGACGGGUUAGUAACGCGUGGGAACGUGCCCUUUACUACGGAAUAGUCCCGGGAAACUGGGUUUAAUACCGUAUACGCCCUUCGGGGGAAAGAUUUAUCGGUAAAGGAUCGGCCCGCGUUAGAUUAGAUAGUUGGUGGGGUAAUGGCCUACCAAGUCUACGAUCUAUAGCUGGUUUGAGAGGAUGAUCAGCAACACUGGGACUGAGACACGGCCCAGACUCCUACGGGAGGCAGCAGUGGGGAAUCUUAGACAAUGGGCGCAAGCCUGAUCUAGCCAUGCCGCGUGAGUGACGAAGGCCUUAGGGUCGUAAAGCUCUUUCGCCAGGGAUGAU
This 410-nucleotide ribosomal RNA is filed under the name uncultured prokaryote. RNAcentral describes it as "bacterial SSU rRNA". It matches the Rfam family "Bacterial small subunit ribosomal RNA", at positions 11 to 449 of the family's 1533-position model. The record is from RNAcentral.